This is a long non-coding RNA of Hydractinia symbiolongicarpus, 1473 nucleotides long. RefSeq lists it as uncharacterized. Lineage: Eukaryota; Metazoa; Cnidaria; Hydrozoa; Anthoathecata; Hydractiniidae. The record is from RefSeq and is a predicted model, not a curated record. The transcript is spliced from 3 exons.
UAAAAUUCCUGAACAAAAUAUUUUGUGAGCUUUUGCGGUUCUUUGCUGAUAGAGCAAUAGAGGUAACGUGAAAACAAGGUUAUAAGUUUUUUUUAUGGAUGGGUUGCUGACGUCAUCAAAACUCAAUUAACACUUUCUUUUCAUUUUUAAUCUGCAUAAGUGGGUUUUUCCACGGGCUUUAUCGACUAGUUAUUAUAUAGAAGAAGAAGUAUUAAAUAACAUUUUACCUUUAACUGUCGUCUUUCUCUGGUCAGUAGUUGGUCUAGUAACUGAAUUGCAAAAAUUAAUUGAAAAAGAGUUUUGUAAAAAGCUAUUUCAUGAUGUGUUACAUGUAAGAAUAAAUGCUGUUAGGACGUAAUAAUAGUAUUUGAAAAAAAGGGGACAAUACUGUUUAUAUUUUUAGGUCGGCAGUACGUUAGAGUUCAAGUAGAUGGAAGACUUUCCCUGAACAUAAACAGCUUGGAUUAUUAGUGAUCGCAAUUGUACCUUUAGUGGGUGCUGUAGUUGUUGUUGUUUUUGAAGUUGGUGUGGUGCCUGGUUGGUGAAAUCAUCAAGAAAAAUAGAAUAAUGCCUAAAAUUUCAUACACAGACUGUAUAAAGAUUGUGUGUUACAUCAAUUUAAUAGUGGAACGGAAGCUAACAUUAAGGAAGCAAUAGCUAAUUUGCUGAAGUCCUCGCCAGACCGAUGUGGAGGAGGUGGGCGAAAGAGCAGCACGUUAUAAAAGCCUCGAAGGAGAAAAUUUUUUAUAUUUUUUGCAGUUCUGUAUAUAUUUCUUUUCUGUUAUUGUUUUAAUACACGUUUUUUUGUAAGCAACCGAGUUGUUACGGUUUUUUUCCAGUAAAUAAUAAUAAAAGCGCAAUAUGGCAAGUGUAAGCUUAAAUAUGGUAAAUUUGAAUAUUACGCUUAGCAACUUCUUAGCAACUAAAUGAAAAAAUUAGUUCUUAUAAAAAAAACUGUAGUGUUCUUAGCAAUAGGCUCUGUGAAAAGUUCAUGGAGCGCUAUUUUGCAGUCCCUCUUGAGUUUUUAGUUGUAUAUUAUAUCCGAGAGGCUUUGCUUCUAAAGUUCACUUGAACAAAUAAACGCUUUAAGCAACACUCAAAUCUGUCAAAAAAAGAGCAAUUCUUGCACAACAUAAUACAGAAACACCGGGCCUCAACCAAAGUUUUGUGUUGUUUAUAAAAAAGCGUGUGGCGUCCUGGGCGCUUAUAAACAAAAACAACUAAAGUCGUCCUCUCUUUUGUGGAUACUUGUAAAUACUUUUAAAAGAAAGGCUUUUAUUAAUUACACUAUGAAUUUACUGUAGGCCUCAAACAACCAUUUUUCUAAUCAAAUAUUCCGAUGUGGAUAACAGCAUAUUUAAGAUUUUUUUAAAAUAUUUUAUUUAUCUAGAUUUGUAUUUUACAGAAUUUAUUUAUAACAACAUAACAUGUGUAUUCAAGGUAACUACUUUGUUAGAUGUUCUUACAUAUUUU